This is a long non-coding RNA of Lathyrus oleraceus (garden pea), 1792 nucleotides long. RefSeq lists it as uncharacterized. The record is from RefSeq and is a predicted model, not a curated record. Lineage: Eukaryota; Viridiplantae; Streptophyta; Magnoliopsida; Fabales; Fabaceae. The transcript has 4 exons.
UUGGCCGAUGUCAUCUUAAUUGAAACAACGUCUUGCCGAGGGCCACCGCACCGGGCGUCGCUCCUGGCGGCGGUGUCCACCAAAACCAACAAUGGAGAUGACAAAAUAACCGUCUAUCCAAGCUCUACACACAUCCAAGGUCAAUUUCACAUAAUAUGGCCUCUAAAUCCCUAACUGAUCCUAAACGUCCCAAGAACCCUAAAAUGAAAAGCUCUAAUUAAAUUCUAUCCUCACUGAUUCAAAGCCCUAUGGGUGAGGGGUUUGAAUCCUCUCAACGUCUUCUACAUGCUGGUAAGUGGAAUUGAAGAAAAUGAGUAUGGUUGAGACUUACUGUGGCCGGAGAAAGACGAAGAUAAUGAUGAUGAUGAACUUAUGAUUCCAGGUCAAAGCAUGUUGCCUUGAAUUACAUCUCUAUUGCACUGGACUAUUGGUGUGAGACCAUAGUGUUAAUUUGCACUGCACUUAGAGCCAAGUUUGCAAUGACUUUGAAGUUUCAUUUAAAAUGGCCUUGUUGUACUGUGGGUUACGCCAUACUCUGACUUGGUUUUCUUUGCAGUCACAGGUUCAAUAUGGUAAACCAAGUCAGUCUAAAAUCCACUCUUGCUGCUUAUGCCUUGCCUUACCCUAUUAACUGAACUUGAUGAUGGGUUGCAGGAUGUUGUUGGCUCAGAUUUUGAGUGUCUUGAACUGCCAUGACUGUAUUGCAAAUCUUUCACUCUUGUGUUAUUGUGGAUUGAAGUGUUGCUGGCUACAUAUGUUGUUGUAUGUUGCAGGACAUGGUUCAUGCUAUACAUUGCAUUGGUUUUGUUAGUAAGGUUAGACCAUGGUAGUAAGCUGGUCUUGCUGCAGGAUGAAGUAAUUUUUUAACUGCUGGUUCAUAUGAUAGUCAUGUUGUAUCAUGCAUGUUAUGCAUAGCUAGUUCCAAUUGUGAUUUGACUUCCUUCAAGUGAUACAUGUAGGGUCAUGUUAAGCUGGAAAUCUCAAGGGCUUGGAUGUGAUUAUGCAGUGCUCUAGUUGGCAUGAACCUGGCACAUAAUGAAGCUUCAAUUCAGCAACACUGUCCAUUGAGGUAUGUGUGUAAUUAUUGUUGAAUGUUGUAUUUUGACUUAGGCAAAGCUUUGUGGUGAGUGUAGGGUUUGUUACAGAUUGUACACUAUGAUCAAUGGUUGAUAGGUUGGGAAAUCACUUGUGCAUUAUGGUUUGUCAUGGGUCAUGGUGUAGCAGUAUUAGUUUGUGUUGCCUUGGCUUGAUGCAAAAAUGUUGGCAGUGUUUUGAAUGUGUUGUAAGAUUUGUUCCUGUUGGAUACAAACGUAAAGCUAGUCAUGGUUUUAGUGGUUGCACUGCAGGUCAUCCAGCAUCUUCUUUAUAGGCAUAUGCAGUGAUGCUGAUGUUGAAGUAUACCAAAACCUGGAUGAAGGGACCUAUCACUUGGUGGAUUAUAUUUGCAACAACUUGUGAAGAUAAGAACCUGUCAUGAGAUCCUUAGAUGGGUUUGUACUUCCUUGUCCUGAAUUCCAAUUAGCACUUGUCUGCAUUGCAGACAUCAUCCCACUGUGCAGUUUUCCAAUGGUAUUGCUUCUAUUUGAAUUCUUCAUGUUUCCAUUGUCACUUGGAACUUCAUUUGCAAGCAAGUCAUGGUAAUUUCAUUAAGUCACCACCUUGAUUUUCAUGUUGGUUUCAAGCCAUCUUGGUGUCAUAUGCCAAGCAUAAGCCAACCCUGUUAACAUGUUUUCAAUGUAGAUUACCAAGUGAAUCCAUAAAUCAAUUCAAAGAGACAAAACAAUCAUGAUCU